CAUUGGAACUCCACCCUCAAGCGAAAAUGUUCUUCCUUCACUGACGACUUAAGCGACGAUGCAGACGCCCGACAACCUCUCAAAAGAUCCGCCAGCGUUGGAGCGGGCACGAACAUCUCUGGUCCGGUUUCGAGUCUUCAUUUGAACCCUAGCAGUCCUUCCGGAUCCGAUGUCAGUGAUUCCAGCUUGCCCGGCAUGUCAUCUUCUCCAGUUUACAGGCCCCUGUUGAAAACGGGUUCACUUGUCCCACCAGUUCUUUCAAUCGAUGCUGCCUCAUCCAC
RNAcentral lists this unclassified non-coding RNA (281 nucleotides) under Hevea brasiliensis (rubber tree). Lineage: Eukaryota; Viridiplantae; Streptophyta; Magnoliopsida; Malpighiales; Euphorbiaceae. The record is from RNAcentral.